AUUUUUCUUUUGGAGAUAAAAUUUUAUUUAAGUGUGUUUUUUGUAAACUAGUACAUUAUAGUUGAAGGCAAAGCAAACAAUAAUAGUAUAGUUUUGACCCAGCUUUAGUCAAUAAUAAUGAUGUGAUAAGUUGCAUUGAUUUAGCUAAAGUUAGCCCCUGUUGCUUCCUCUGAUUGAGGAUAAGAAAAAUUCUGGGAUUCCAUCAGGAGUUGAUUGGAGAUUAAUAUUUUUUAUGCUGAUGGGUGAUGGAUAGAGAGAU
Molecule: long non-coding RNA, 259 nt
Organism: Episyrphus balteatus (marmalade hoverfly)
Lineage: Eukaryota; Metazoa; Arthropoda; Insecta; Diptera; Syrphidae
Exons: 3
Source: RefSeq, a predicted model, not a curated record